Molecule: long non-coding RNA, 402 nt
Organism: Arvicola amphibius (Eurasian water vole)
Lineage: Eukaryota; Metazoa; Chordata; Mammalia; Rodentia; Cricetidae
Exons: 3
Source: RefSeq, a predicted model, not a curated record
UCCUCUCUGAGCCAGUCGCCAUGAAGCCAGCCACCAGGUCAGACAUGCUGAAUCUUUCCCGAAUUCCAACAUCUACGUAGACCAGCUGGAACUCCAGCCUUAUGGACUAAGCAACUUAAGGAUUCUUGGACUUUCUGUUCACAACCAGCCAUUGUUGGAUUAGCUGGACUGCAUCUUAGAAUGAGAACCUGUAAAAUUCUUCCAGACUAAUGUGGUUUGAUGGACCAAGACCCUCUAAAAGGCCACCUUGAACACUGCUCAAAAAAUUAAUUUGCCUGAUAAACUGGACGCAGAUUGGAGAAUACUAUGCCCAUAUUCCCAAAUAUUAUUUGUAAAUGUUUCUUUACAUUUAAAGGGGGAUAUGCUAUAGAGAUGGAUACUUUGCAUUGAUGUGAAUGUUGG